RNAcentral lists this ribosomal RNA (253 nucleotides) under uncultured bacterium. RNAcentral's name for it is "partial 16S ribosomal RNA". It matches the Rfam family "Bacterial small subunit ribosomal RNA", at positions 524 to 776 of the family's 1533-position model. The record is from RNAcentral.
GACGAACCGAGCGAAUGUUGUUCGGCAUCCCUGGGCUUAAAGGUUGCGUAGGCGGGUUGUCCAGUCUGGGGUGAAAUCCCACGGCUCAACCGUGGAACUGCCUCAGAUACUGACGACCUCGAGGGAGGUAGGGGCGAGCGGAACUGUGGGUGGAGCGGUGAAAUGCGUUGAUAUCCAUAGGAACUCCGGUGGCGAAGGCGGCUCGCUGGACCUCUUCUGACGCUGAGGCACGAAAGCUAGGGGAGCAAACGGG